This 124-nucleotide non-coding RNA is filed under the name Partenskyella glossopodia. The record is from RNAcentral. Lineage: Eukaryota; Cercozoa; Chlorarachniophyceae.
ACGCAUCGCCCAUCGACACCUUUCCUCGCACGAUGCCGCAGAGCCGCUCCCUCCUCCUUUCUAUCGCAGUCAACGCGCUUCUCGUCGGAGUCCUCCUCUACUCCGUCGCUUUCGCGGGCCAUGG